Molecule: long non-coding RNA, 1331 nt
Organism: Oreochromis aureus
Lineage: Eukaryota; Metazoa; Chordata; Actinopteri; Cichliformes; Cichlidae
Exons: 7
Source: RefSeq, a predicted model, not a curated record
CCAAUAAUAAAAAAAAAUCCAUCAUCAACAGAUCCUAUGAUUCAACAUGGAAACCGGGCAGAGAAAACGCUCGGCUUACUUCACCCCACUUGAAAUAGAUAUUCUGCUGGGUGUAUAUGGCGAGUACGAACACAUUUUUAGGAAGAAAGGCAACACGGCUGCAGCAGCAAAGGAGAGAGAACUGGCGUGGGAGAGAAUUGCAGCGCGGGUAAAUGCGUGCAAUCCCACGGGAACAAAAAGGACUUGGCAGCAGCUGAAAAUGAAAUAUAAAAACAUAGUUCAAACAGCUAACAGAAAGAAGGCAGAGGCUCGCAAAGUGGUUGAAGGGGCACCUUCAUCCAUGCUGAGGCAGAAGAGCUUGCCAAGAUUGCUGAUGGCCUUGUUGAGACUCCUACUUCAGCAGAAGCAUUUCCAACCCUUCCAUCUGAAGCAGACGAAGAUGAUGAUAAGGAUACAUUAUCCGCUGAGAUAGAUCCAGAUAGACCUAGUGAGAGCAAGGCCGAACAUUAUCAAGAGGAAGCUCCAUCAACUACCCCAGCACAUAUUAACAAAUUAAAGAAAUAUACAAAAUGCACCUCAUCCAAACAAUGACAAAAACUGACAAAGAAAUCACAUACUUGGAUCGUCAGAUUAGAAAGACAGAUCUGGAAAUUGAAUUACUGGAGCACCAGUUAGAGGUGGGUAACAUGUUACAGGUGAUUACUCUCUGAUAAAUACACAAAUGAUAAUGGUUGGUUUUGUAUUUGUAGGAAAUAAAGAAGAACAAAUGAAAUGUGAAUAAGGAGUCCUUAUUUAUCCUGUGGGGGUGGGGAAACUAAUCUGAAAAGAGAUUGUAGCAAAGUUGUUUCUCUGACAGCUCUUGCAUCAUGAACAUCUUCAGGGUGAACAGGAUCCUCUUCCCCAGGUUCAUCCACUCAUAUGGCAGGGUGCUGCUAAGAGAGGCAAUAUUAUGGAGAACAACACAUGCCACAAUGAUGCCACAUGCUCUCUCUGAUGAUACCUUGAGUCUAUGCAGGCACUGGAACCAGGAUUUGAAUCAUGUCCACCCAGAGAAGGGGAAGUUUAAUUACAGCAACAACAAUUCCAAGUAUAAUCAUGAAGUAUAACUGAAGGAUUUGUACAUCAAUCGCCUGCUGUGCUACAGAAUUCCUCUUUAAUACUCCUUCUUAGUUUAUGAGAUUUCUUAUUUGGAAUAGUACAAAAUUUUGUAGCUGAUGUUUAAGAGAAAAAUAAAUCUUUCUAACUGGUGCACAGACAGUCAUGUGUCAUACAGGAAACCCCUGAUGGUAACAAAGCGAAUUGCCACACAAAGAGAUUGGUCUGAUGUGAAA